UUCAACAUGUCAAACUACAUCCGGGGAUCAACAUUCUGCACGUAUGCAUUCAGGAAGCCGAAUUAUUCUAUUAAUUGUGGAGCACAAAACCAUGCCUUAACUUCAGCAUAUCUUCGGUGAAUUCGGUGUCUCACUGGCAUAUGGAAACACUACACCAAAACACGCCCGACAGUCACACUGAACGACACCCUGGCAGUCACCACUGGUGACCUACUUUUGUUACACCUGCAUUAUUGCAUUACCUUCGGAUACAAAAGUCAUACUUGGGGAUUUUACAUACUCCAUGAAAUAGUAUACACAGUAAAUUGUUCAAGAAGCAUUACAACAAUAUAGUAUAUGAAGUUCACUGUGCAUAUAUUUCUACGAUUCGAAAUAUACUUGCGUCAAGAUUGCUUUAAAUGACGCGAUGAUAUCACAUGGACUGAAAGGCAUGAGACGUGUUACGUGACAUACCUCCACUGGGUUGUUCCCUAUUACGCCUGAUGAGGCUGUACUGUACACUGAUACAGGUGAACCAGGAAGAAAGACACAACUGACAUACAUUUGAGGGCUGACUGAGGGAAGGAAAAUUUGUUUUCGUUUCACGAGGCUGCGGGAUCAGCCAAAUACACUACUUCUUUCAUGUUCACACGAGCAAGUCAUAUCACUAUCACAAGCUUUCCGGGGCAAUGUACAUUGUACAGCUGAACACUACUUCCUGGUUGUCCUCCGUCGUUAGUGGCAAGAGACAUUGGCGUUGUUGAGGAUUAUUAUCACAGGUUUAUAGUGAGACGGCUGUUUUAUGUGACCGGUUCUUCCUCAGUCCAGGACAAAUUCAGACCUUAGAGACCUUAGAAUUAGACACCUUCAGCGCCAGAUAUGUCUGUUUGAUGAAGGUUGAGACCGAAGAUUUGAUGACAUGACCAGUGCCAGUCAACACAACACCAUUGCUCAAUGUCAAGAACAGAAAAGAACUUUUACUUAUGACCUAAUCAUCACCACAAAUUUCUGGAAAGCCUUGAAUGUUGGUUCAGAUAUUGGUCCCUGUGUGCCUAUAUUACGGGUCGUCUGGAGAGUCGAGGGCGGAGAUCAGAAUCACACUCGCUCCACAAAAUGGAAAGUACACACAUCAUGUAUGAACUGUGAAGUAGCAAGACAACUAGGAGAAGCAGCCUUUACCCGUGUGCAUCGUUUUGUUAAUGAAGCUAAAGAUGAAUAUGAUGCCGAGCUACUCUACAUUCUCAGUGAUUACACGUUUGUAUUCGGACAUAAACAACUUGAGUCUGAGAAAAAGAUGGUCACAGAUAAAAGAACUGUUGUACAAAAAUUCAAAAUACUUCUUCAUGGAGGAAGUACAAUGCUACCGCAGUUUACUGUUGAUGUCCUAUUAGACGAAAAUGGUGAAACUAAACGACAAGUUGAUAGUGAGAUCAAGCAAGAAACACCAGGAAGUCAUCGGCAACUCCAAGAAUUUGAAAGACGAAUGGAUCAAAACAUAUUCUGCCACUUCAGAAAUCUUGAAAAUGUUGUGAACAAUGCAAUCUUGAAGGAUUGUGCCCACAUUAAGAAUGUAGUACAGAAAAUAGCUUUGGACAUUAACGGGGAACAACAUGUUUCACUAUACACUCUCUCAGAUCAAGAAGGAAAUACCAGUAAAACUAAAGACCAAAAGUUACAUGUACAAGCAGAGCAGCCAAAUGGUCAAACAUGUGGGUACGGGUGUACCUUGGAUCAGCGUAGUGCAUGUGAAGGAGCAGGUGUUGAACAACAACAGGAGCAGGACGCAUCCCUUGUCAAUGCGGCGGUUGACAAGUGCUUUGAGCAAAGCCAAUCACCAAGUGAAAUCAUCAGCAAGAAUUAUUUAAAGGCCCAGGAAGUUCUCAGAGCUCUAAACAUCAAUCCGGAUGGAUGGACACGGUUAACGGCCUCCACAGCGCUAGCUUUAGAACCUGCAAAGCCAUCGCCACCGCGAACGGACUCCGUAUCAACUGUCUUGUGCCUUGAUGUCUCUGAAAGUAUAGGAGCCCAGGGUCUGGAGCAACUCAAGAAGAUCGCCUACAACUUCAUCGAUGGUAUAGAGACAAUGGCUGAACGGUUUGGACUGGAGGAGAACCUUGGAGUGGUGAAAGUUGGUGGAGACGCGUCUGUGGUUCAAGAUCUUACCAACGACUAUGGUGCUGUCCGGGAUGCAAUAGAUAACCUGGUACUCGGCGGUUUCAGCCCACUGUUUGAAGGUCUCGUGGUAUCCGCGGCAUCGAUCGAAGGGAGAGGUUGUAUUCUACACCCUUUCGGGAUUCACACGUUAAAGCCCAGAAUCAUCUUCAUGACAGAUGGUUAUUCUACAGAAGAGGAUCAACGAGAAGGGCAGGAUUCUGUUGUGCCCGAUUACUCUCUCAGGGUUCAGCUUCUUCGUCUGACUAAAAACAUGGCAGAACACAAGAGCGUUGUACACCCAGUAACAUGGGUACCUGUAGGGAGAGCCGAUAAGCAAUACAUGUGCUCCUUGGCGAAACUUGGAAAGCAAGAGCUCGUAGAAGGGAAGGGCAUCAGCAGUGUGUGCAGUUACAACAGGUUACAGAUGACCAUUGCUCAAAUACUGACCUGUUUGGCAAGCUAUGACGAAGACAACUCAUCUCAGUACAACGAAACAGUCACUGAAGCACUUACAGCUGACAUGAGUAAAGAGGAGAAGGAAUUCGUUAUUCAAGCUGUGCAAGACAAGCUGGAAGGGCGGGGACUUCUUCCUGAUGAUGGUCCGAGUGAUUUUGACAACGUGUUAGAACGCGAUGGGUUACCUCCCCUUGGGUCCAGAGUACGACGAGGACCUGACUGGAAUAGACAGGACGAAGAUGUCGAGGGACCCGGGACUAUUAUUAAUCAUGCGAAUGAUCCCCAGCUACUGUGGGUGGAAUGGGACUUGAAUGGCGACCGAGUCUAUCAGUAUAGAUAUGGAUAUGAUGAAAUGUAUGAAGUUCUCUUGAUUGACAAGGAGUCGACUGGUCAUAUGGAAAUGAGGAUGGUGGACCAGGCGCAUUUGGAAUUGUCAUACGAGCGCGCGGGGAUGGGAAAGUAAAGGUGAGAUGGGAUAAUGGUCACAUCAGUUCGUACAACUUUGGAUGCGAUGGCAGAUUUGACUUAGAAAUCCGUUUGGAGGACGGAGGUGGUCCAGCAGGAGCCUUAGCAUCCCCGGAAUCACCAGCAACAACUGUUCCUGACAAUAGUAAUGAUAACAAAGAAACAAAGCUGGCUAUGGUGACAAAAGCGAAACCACACAUUAUCUGGCAGUGGAAGGAUGAUAACAGUGACUGGAGGUUAUACACAAAGAUGCAGGUAGAAAAACUGGAAAAAGAAUACCAGAGACAGAGAGCCAGAUCCUGUGUUGUAGAGAAAGGUGGU
This 3375-nucleotide unclassified non-coding RNA is filed under the name Haliotis rufescens (red abalone). Its description in RNAcentral is "uncharacterized LOC124131409, transcript variant X9". Lineage: Eukaryota; Metazoa; Mollusca; Gastropoda; Lepetellida; Haliotidae. The record is from RNAcentral.